This is a non-coding RNA of Erinaceus europaeus (western European hedgehog), 100 nucleotides long. The record is from Rfam. NCBI's taxonomy places the organism in Eukaryota, Metazoa, Chordata, Mammalia, Eulipotyphla, Erinaceidae.
UCCCCCCCCCCCCAUCUCCCCGCCCCCCCCCCCCAAGUCUUUGGCAUCAUUAUCCUCAUCACUAAAUCCUACAGAGUACAGGGCAGAAAACGGUGCACAC